GAUGAACGCUGGCGGCGUGCCUAAUACAUGCAAGUCGAGCGAACAGACGAGGAGCUUGCUCCUCUGACGUUAGCGGCGGACGGGUGAGUAACACGUGGAUAACCUACCUAUAAGACUGGGAUAACUUCGGGAAACCGGAGCUAAUACCGGAUAAUAUAUUGAACCGCAUGGUUCAAUAGUGAAAUACGGUUUUGCUGUCACUUAUAGAUGGAUCCGCGCCGCAUUAGCUAGUUGGUAAGGUAAAGGCUUACCAAGGCAACGAUGCGUAUCCGACCUGAGAGGCUGAUAGGCCACACUGGAACUGAGCCGCGGUCCAUCCUCCUGCGGGAGGCAGCCGUGUGGAAUCUUCCGCAAUGGGCGAAAACCUGACAGAACAAGGCCGCGUGUGAGACGAAGAUCUUCGGAUCGUAAAACUCUGUUAGUAGGGAAAAACCACUGUCUAUGUAACUAUGCACGUCUUGACGGUACCUAAUCAGAAAGCAACGGCUAACUACGUG
RNAcentral lists this ribosomal RNA (497 nucleotides) under uncultured bacterium. RNAcentral's name for it is "partial 16S ribosomal RNA". It matches the Rfam family "Bacterial small subunit ribosomal RNA", at positions 28 to 507 of the family's 1533-position model. The record is from RNAcentral.